CGUGCGCUGCACCGGCCACGAGAACGCGCUGGAGCGCUGCACCCACUCGGGCUGGGCCCGGCACAACUGCCAGCACCGCGAGGACGCGGGCGUGGUGUGCGCAGGUCUGGCUGACUCUCUUGUACCUAAGGACAAUGGUAAAGUCUUCCCUCUAGCGUCUGAGGCUAAGGAUGCUGAUGGGGGAGCUGAGAGAACAGCCAAGCAGGGGAGAAAGAACAGGCUGUGAUGGGGACCCGCUUCUGUGUUUACACUGAGAUCUCUGGAUUUCCACCCACUCGCUGGGUUUUAGGAGCCCAGCUAUCCUGCUUGCCUCACCUCUUCCAAGCCGUCAUUGACCGAGGCUAUCUCCGGAGGCUGGGCUACUCCUCCUGGGACAUCCACUUAAAUGAUGAGCUAUGUCGCCCCAAAGUCAUGGGACGCUGCCUGAUCUUCAACAUUCCCUAUGGCCACUGUGGCACUAUCCAGCAGGAGCACCUUGGCUCCCUCAGCUACUCUAACUCCAUCAGAGGCCGGAAACGGGGCCACCCUGGCCGAGU
RNAcentral lists this long non-coding RNA (536 nucleotides) under Homo sapiens (human). RNAcentral's name for it is "non-protein coding lnc-FAM24A-2:1". Lineage: Eukaryota; Metazoa; Chordata; Mammalia; Primates; Hominidae. The record is from RNAcentral.